RNAcentral lists this ribosomal RNA (207 nucleotides) under uncultured delta proteobacterium. Its description in RNAcentral is "partial 16S ribosomal RNA". It matches the Rfam family "Bacterial small subunit ribosomal RNA", at positions 568 to 774 of the family's 1533-position model. Lineage: Bacteria; Deltaproteobacteria. The record is from RNAcentral.
CGUGUAGGCUGCUUCGCAAGUCGGAUGUGAAAGCCCUGGGCUCAACCCAGGAAGUGCAUUCGAAACUGCAAAGCUGGAGUCCUGGAGAGGAAGGCGGAAUUCUCGGUGUAGAGGUGAAAUUCGUAGAUAUCGAGAGGAACAUCGGUGGCGAAGGCGGCCUUCUGGACAGUGACUGACGCUGAGACGCGAAAGCGUGGGGAGCAAACA